This 2917-nucleotide ribosomal RNA is filed under the name Salmonella enterica subsp. enterica serovar Enteritidis. RNAcentral describes it as "23S ribosomal RNA". It matches the Rfam family "Bacterial large subunit ribosomal RNA". Lineage: Bacteria; Pseudomonadati; Pseudomonadota; Gammaproteobacteria; Enterobacterales; Enterobacteriaceae. The record is from RNAcentral.
GGGUUGUGAGGUUAAGCGACUAAGCGUACACGGUGGAUGCCCUGGCAGUCAGAGGCGAUGAAGGGCGUGCUAAUCUGCGAUAAGCGCCGGUAAGGUGAUAUGAACCGUUAUAACCGGCGAUACCCGAAUGGGGAAACCCAGUGUGACUCGUCACACUAUCAUUAACUGAAUCCAUAGGUUAAUGAGGCGAACCGGGGAACUGAAACAUCUAAGUACCCCGAGGAAAAGAAAUCAACCGAGAUUCCCCAGUAGCGGCGAGCGAAGGGGGAGGAGCCCAGAGCCUGAAUCAGCAUGUGUGUUAGUGGAAGCGUCUGGAAAGGCGCGCGAUACAGGGUGACAGCCCCGUACACAAAAGCGCAUGUGCUGUGAGCUCGAUGAGUAGGGCGGGACACGUGGUAUCCUGUCUGAAUAUGGGGGACCAUCCUCCAAGGCUAAAUACUCCUGACUGACCGAUAGUGAACCAGUACCGUGAGGGAAAGGCGAAAAGAACCCCGGCGAGGGGAGUGAAAAAGAACCUGAAACCGUGUACGUACAAGCAGUGGGAGCACAGGUUUACCUGUGUGACUGCGUACCUUUUGUAUAAUGGGUCAGCGACUUAUAUUCUGUAGCAAGGUUAACCGAAUAGGGGAGCCGGAGGGAAACCGAGUCUUAACCGGGCGUUAAGUUGCAGGGUAUAGACCCGAAACCCGGUGAUCUAGCCAUGGGCAGGUUGAAGGUUGGGUAACACUAACUGGAGGACCGAACCGACUAAUGUUGAAAAAUUAGCGGAUGACCUGUGGCUGGGGUGAAAGGCCAAUCAAACCGGGAGAUAGCUGGUUCUCCCCGAAAGCUAUUUAGGUAGCGCCUCGUGAAUUCAUCUCCGGGGGUAGAGCACUGUUUCGGCUAGGGGCCAUCCCGGCUUACCAACCCGAUGCAAACUGCGAAUACCGGAGAAUGUUAUCACGGGAGACACACGGCGGGUGCUAACGUCCGUCGUGAAGAGGGAAACAACCCAGACCGCCAGCUAAGGUCCCAAAGUCAUGGUUAAGUGGGAAACGAUGUGGGAAGGCCCAGACAGCCGGGAUGUUGGCUUAGAAGCAGCCAUCAUUUAAAGAAAGCGUAAUAGCUCACUGGUCGAGUCGGCCUGCGCGGAAGAUGUAACGGGGCUAAACCAUGCACCGAAGCUGCGGCAGCGACGCUGAUGCGUUGUUGGGUAGGGGAGCGUUCUGUAAGCCUGCGAAGGUGGCCUGUGAGGGUUGCUGGAGGUAUCAGAAGUGCGAAUGCUGACAUAAGUAACGAUAAAGCGGGUGAAAAGCCCGCUCGCCGGAAGACCAAGGGUUCCUGUCCAACGUUAAUCGGGGCAGGGUGAGUCGACCCCAAGGCGAGGCCGAAAGGCGUAGUCGAUGGGAAACGGGUUAAUAUUCCCGUACUUGGUGUUACUGCGAAGGGGGACGGAGAAGGCUAUGUUGGCCGGGCGACGGUUGUCCCGGUUUAAGCGUGUAGGCUGGUUUUCCGGCAAAUCCGGAAAAUCAAGGCUGAGGCGUGAUGACGAGGCACUACGGUGCUGAAGCAACAAAUGCCCUGCUUCCGGGAAAAGCCUCUAAGCAUCAGGUAACAUCAAAUCGUACCCCAAACCGACACAGGUGGUCAGGUAGAGAAUACCAAGGCGCUUGAGAGAACUCGGGUGAAGGAACUAGGCAAAAUGGUGCCGUAACUUCGGGAGAAGGCACGCUGACACGUAGGUGAAGUGAUUUACUCAUGGAGCUGAAGUCAGUCGAAGAUACCAGCUGGCUGCAACUGUUUAUUAAAAACACAGCACUGUGCAAACACGAAAGUGGACGUAUACGGUGUGACGCCUGCCCGGUGCCGGAAGGUUAAUUGAUGGGGUCAGCGCAAGCGAAGCUCCUGAUCGAAGCCCCGGUAAACGGCGGCCGUAACUAUAACGGUCCUAAGGUAGCGAAAUUCCUUGUCGGGUAAGUUCCGACCUGCACGAAUGGCGUAAUGAUGGCGGGCUGUCUCCACCCGAGACUCAGUGAAAUUGAACUCGCUGUGAAGAUGCAGUGUACCCGCGGCAAGACGGAAAGACCCCGUGAACCUUUACUAUAGCUUGACACUGAACAUUGAGCCUUGAUGUGUAGGAUAGGUGGGAGGCUUUGAAGUGUGGACGCCAGUCUGCAUGGAGCCGACCUUGAAAUACCACCCUUUAAUGUUUGAUGUUCUAACGUGGACCCGUUACCCGGGUUGCGGACAGUGUCUGGUGGGUAGUUUGACUGGGGCGGUCUCCUCCUAAAGAGUAACGGAGGAGCACGAAGGUUGGCUAAUCCCGGUCGGACAUCAGGAGGUUAGUGCAAUGGCAUAAGCCAGCCUGACUGCGAGCGUGACGGCGCGAGCAGGUGCGAAAGCAGGUCAUAGUGAUCCGGUGGUUCUGAAUGGAAGGGCCAUCGCUCAACGGAUAAAAGGUACUCCGGGGAUAACAGGCUGAUACCGCCCAAGAGUUCAUAUCGACGGCGGUGUUUGGCACCUCGAUGUCGGCUCAUCACAUCCUGGGGCUGAAGUAGGUCCCAAGGGUAUGGCUGUUCGCCAUUUAAAGUGGUACGCGAGCUGGGUUUAGAACGUCGUGAGACAGUUCGGUCCCUAUCUGCCGUGGGCGCUGGAGAACUGAGGGGGCUGCUCCUAGUACGAGAGGACCGGAGUGGACGCAUCACUGGUGUUCGGGUUGUCAUGCCAAUGGCACUGCCCGGUAGCUAAAUGCGGAAGAGAUAAGUGCUGAAAGCAUCUAAGCACGAAACUUGCCCCGAGAUGAGUUCUCCCUGAGACUUAGAGUCUCCUGAAGGAACGUUGAAGACGACGACGUUGAUAGGCCGGGUGUGUAAGCGCAGCGAUGCGUUGAGCUAACCGGUACUAAUGAACCGUGAGGCUUAACCUUACAACGCCGAAG